GCACAGUAAUGUGAUUCCAAUAGAUCCUUCUGAUACUCCACCGUGGACUCAAUAACAUCUGUUAGGUGA
Small nucleolar RNA from Ochotona princeps (American pika), 69 nucleotides. The record is from Ensembl. NCBI's taxonomy places the organism in Eukaryota, Metazoa, Chordata, Mammalia, Lagomorpha, Ochotonidae.